AUACGGAGGGUGCGAGCGUUAAUCGGAAUUACUGGGCGUAAAGGGUUCGUAGGCGGUUAUUUAAGUCAGAUGUGAAAGCCCCGGGCUCAACCUGGGAAUUGCAUCUGAUACUGGGUAACUAGAGUUUAAGAGAGGAGUGUGGAAUUUCCGGUGUAGCGGUGAAAUGCAUAGAGAUCGGAAGGAACAUCAGUGGCGAAGGCGGCACUCUGGCUUAAAACUGACGCUGAGGAACGAAAGCGUGGGUAGCAAACAGGAUUAGAAACCCUAGUAGUCC
Molecule: ribosomal RNA, 274 nt
Filed under: uncultured bacterium
Lineage: Bacteria
Description: partial 16S ribosomal RNA
Rfam family: Bacterial small subunit ribosomal RNA
Source: RNAcentral